AGAGAUGUGUGAUGACGCAUAUCAAUAAGCGGAGGAAAAGAAACUAACAAGGAUUCCCUUAGUAACGGCGAGUGAAGCGGGAAGAGCUCAAAUUUGAAAUCUCCAAGGUUCUACCUUGACGAAUUGUAGUUUAUAGAAGUGUUUUCUGUUAGUAGAGUGGCAAAAGUUCUUUGGAAUAGGACAUCAUAGAGGGUGAGAAUCCCGUAUUUGGUCAUUCUUUCUAGCUUUGUGAUACACUUUCAACGAGUCGGAUUGUUUGGGAAUGCAGUCCAAAAUGGGUGGUAAAUUUCAUCUAAAGCUAAAUAUUGGCGAGAGACCGAUAGCGAACAAGUACCGUGAGGGAAAGAUGAAAAGAACUUUGAAAAGAGAGUUAAACAGUACGUGAAAUUGUCAAAAGGGAAGCGUUUGACACCAGUGUUGUUUUCUCGAAAAUCAAUUACGAAUGUUUUGUUUUUAAGAAGUUAUGACUUCAUCGGCUUGCUUCUUUCUUUACGAAACUUUCUUAAUGCACUUUUCGGUUAACAAGUCAACAUCAAUUUCUUUUGUUGUAAAAGGGUAUGAGGAAGGUGGCUUUCUUUUCGGAGAAAGUGUUUAUAGCCUUGUACCUCUGCAAUCGGAGAGAUUGAGGUCUGCAGCGUAGAUCCUUCGGGAUUAGAUACAUUUGUGCUAAGUUAUAGCUUUUCAUAGACAACUUGUUGACUAUGAUUAGUCUUGUAGCUUACUCGCUUAUGCUAUUUUACCUACGCUUAGGAUGUUGACAGCAGUAUAGACUGU
Molecule: ribosomal RNA, 774 nt
Filed under: uncultured Neocallimastigales
Lineage: Eukaryota; Fungi; Neocallimastigomycota; Neocallimastigomycetes; Neocallimastigales
Description: partial large subunit ribosomal RNA
Rfam family: Eukaryotic large subunit ribosomal RNA
Source: RNAcentral